GACGAACGCUGGCGGCGUGCCUAACACAUGCAAGUCGAACGAGACCUUCGGUUCUAGUGGCGCACGGGUGCGUAACGCGUGGUAACCUGCCCUUAAGUUCGGCAUAACUCCCCGAUAGGGGUGCUAAUACCGGAUAAUGUCUUCGGACCAAAGAUUUAUCGCCUUUGGAUGGGCCCGCGUUGGAUUAGCUAGUUGGUAGGGUAAAAGCCUACCAAGGCGACGAUCCAUAGCUGGUCUGAGAGGAUGAUCAGCCACACUGGGACUGAGACACGGCCCAGACUCCUACGGGAGGCAGCAGUGGGGAAUAUUGGACAAUGGGCGAAAGCCUGAUCGAGCAAUGCGGCGUGAGUGAUGAAGGGCUGAGGGUUGUAAAGCUCUUUUACCCGGGAUGAUAAUGACAGUACCGGGAGAAUAAGCUCCGGCUAACUACGUG
RNAcentral lists this ribosomal RNA (433 nucleotides) under uncultured bacterium. Its description in RNAcentral is "partial 16S ribosomal RNA". It matches the Rfam family "Bacterial small subunit ribosomal RNA", at positions 28 to 507 of the family's 1533-position model. The record is from RNAcentral.